Molecule: long non-coding RNA, 740 nt
Filed under: Gallus gallus (chicken)
Lineage: Eukaryota; Metazoa; Chordata; Aves; Galliformes; Phasianidae
Description: long non-coding RNA NONGGAT005785
Source: RNAcentral
UUGGGUGCUAAGUAGUGUGAGUAAAGACAGCAAAGUUAGAUUAAUAAUAGCCUGUGAAGCGCUAUCUGAAUGCCGGAUGACAGUUUGAAUCUCAUUUCAUAGACAGUUGUUUGUUUUUGUUUGUUAUUCUUCAGAGGAUAGGAGCAAGAAUUUGGAAUAUUUUUUGGAGAUAAGAGCCAGAUUGUCAGAUGUAAAACAGGAUUUAGGUCAGAUGGUCGUGUCUCCAUGAUGCCUGAAAGGACAUGUUUUGCACAGCUAGACAUGCAUCUCAAUAACAUGUUCUCUUAGGUUCCACACGACAACUUUACAGACUCACGCUAUGCCUGCUUGUUUUUCCCAUAUUUUCUCUGUUUCUGGCCAACAUCUUGUUUAUUUAGCAUUACUGUCUCUUUUGCAAAAAGGUUUUGUACACACAGCCUCUCUUCUAACUCCAGUGUUGUACUAGGCUGGGAAACAACAGUUUCACGGAGCAGAGGUGACGAGGACUGGCAAGUUUUAGGUGAAAACUGAAGCAAUGCUCAGCAUCUUCUGAGUGCUGUGCUGGUCGAUCACUUCACAUCCAACAGCUGAUGGGAAGAGGUUGCUCCAUGCUGCUCCCAGCAUACACCAGCAGGCAGAGGAGAUUGUCUACAGAUGGCUACAACAUAGGAGAAAGAAAGAACCCCAGAACCUACCAGACCCCAACACUGAGACCACAUCAAGCGCACUCUGCCUCUCACAGUGUGUUAGCUGGAAUAGAA